Small nuclear RNA from Cercocebus atys (sooty mangabey), 107 nucleotides. NCBI's taxonomy places the organism in Eukaryota, Metazoa, Chordata, Mammalia, Primates, Cercopithecidae. The record is from Ensembl.
GUGCUCGCUUCGGCAGCACAUAUACUAAAAUUGGAAUGAUACAGAGAUGAUUAGCAUGCCCCCUGUGCCAGGAGGACAUGGAAAUUUGUGAAACAUUCCAUUAAUUU